Molecule: ribosomal RNA, 255 nt
Filed under: Duganella radicis
Lineage: Bacteria; Pseudomonadati; Pseudomonadota; Betaproteobacteria; Burkholderiales; Oxalobacteraceae
Description: partial 23S ribosomal RNA
Rfam family: Bacterial large subunit ribosomal RNA
Source: RNAcentral
CCCCGGGAGGGGAGUGAAAUAGAUCCUGAAACCGUGUGCAUACAAACAGUAGGAGCCUCCUUGUGGGGUGACUGCGUACCUUUUGUAUAAUGGGUCAGCGACUUACAUUCAGUGGCAAGGUUAACCGGAUAGGGAAGCCGUAGAGAAAUCGAGUCCGAACAGGGCGAUAGUCGCUGGGUGUAGACCCGAAACCAAGUGAUCUACUCAUGGCCAGGAUGAAGGUGCGGUAACACGCACUGGAGGUCCGAACCCACU